RNAcentral lists this transfer RNA (69 nucleotides) under Pedetontus silvestrii. Its description in RNAcentral is "tRNA-Tyr". It matches the Rfam family "tRNA". Rfam says of the family: Transfer RNA (tRNA) molecules are approximately 80 nucleotides in length. Their secondary structure includes four short double-helical elements and three loops (D, anti-codon, and T loops). Lineage: Eukaryota; Metazoa; Arthropoda; Insecta; Archaeognatha; Machilidae. The record is from RNAcentral.
GAUAAAAUGGCUGAAAUAUUAAGCGUAAGAUUGUAAAUCUUAUAAUGAAUAAUAUUUAUUCUUUUAUCA